RNA transcript from Panicum virgatum (switchgrass), 2321 nucleotides. It is a transcript of the gene named BUD13 homolog, with no coding region annotated. NCBI's taxonomy places the organism in Eukaryota, Viridiplantae, Streptophyta, Magnoliopsida, Poales, Poaceae. The transcript is spliced from 9 exons. The record is from RefSeq and is a predicted model, not a curated record.
GCCCAGCUGAAGAGUCCACGCGCUCCCUCCGCCUCUCGCAUCUCCUGACCCGAUCCCGCCAGGUACCGCCGCACCGGUCGUCGCCGGCGCGACGGACUUGAGCGGUGCAUCGCGCCCGGCUGCCGCGGCAAGUGGGCGGAGCAGGAUAGCAGCGGCCGCUCGGCUAAGCAGCCAGCUGAUUCGCUUCCGUCUACUGGCUUUGCUUUCGGGGGAUUUGGGAUCCGGCACCGCACCGGCGGAAAGGGGGUCAGCCAGCCAUGGCGGCGAGGCAGCCGCCACCGUCGUCCGCCUCCGCGCCCACGGGGGGCCUCUCCAUGAAGGAGUACCUCAAGAGGUACCAGUCGGGCCCGGGCGCCGACGGGGACCAGAAGAAGGCGAAGAAGAAGACGAAGAAGAAGCCCAAGCCCGUCGCCGGGGGAGGCGGGGUGCUCAUCGUCGACGAAGACCCCGUGUGGCAGAAGCCCGUACGGCUGGAGGACGACGAGCCCGCGUCGUCAGGUGACGACAGGCCUCUGGUGGAUGAGGACAUCGAGGUCAAGCGGAUGCGCCGCCUGGAGGCAAUACGCGCGGCGCGGCCGUACAACGCAAUUGCGGAGGACGGCAGCGGGUGGGUCACUGUGGCGGCCCUGGAGGAGCAGGGUGGUGGGUCGACCCGCCGCCGCAGGAAUGACACGCCGUCACCGGAGCGGGGAGGUGCUGGGAACAAGGACUUUUCUCCUCCACGUCGGAGGCAGCGGCGUGACACGCCCUCACCUGAGCCUGGUGAUGCUGCUGGGAAGGAAAUCUCGCCACCGAAGCAGAGGCGGAGGCGCCAGGACACACCAUCGCCAAAGGGCAACGGUGCAGCUGAUCAGGAUGACAUGUCACCACCACGAAAGCCUAGGAGGCAACAAGACCCCUCGCCACCGAGGAGACGUGCUAGGCAUGAUUCAGAGGAGCCGCAGGACAUGCCACCACCACGGAGGCGAAUGCGGCAUGAUUCUGAGGAGCCUCAGGACAUGUCACCACCACGAAGGCGUAGGCAUGAUUCAGAGGAGCCCCAAGACAUGUCACCACCACGGAGGCGAAUGAGACAUGAUUCAGAGGAGCCGCAAGACCUCUCUGUGCCACGUCGAAGAGCACGGCAUGACUUAGAGGAGCCCAAAGACUUAUCCCAACCUCGGCGACGGAGACGGCAUGAUUCAGAAGAGCCCGAAGACAUGCCACCACAGAGGAGGAAGUACCAGGACUCUACAAAGGUGGAUGAUCUGUCGCCUCCAAGAAGGAGAAAUAUGGGGCAAAAUCCAGAUUUUUCACCACCAAGGAAGGGUAAGAAGGAAGGAGCCCAAAAACAGGCAAGGAAAGCUGGACUUAUGACAGCAGAGGAAGUUAAAGAGGACAUCAAAAGAUUAAGGAGGAUGAGAUGCUCAAGUUCGCAGCGCAGGAUCCCUCAUUGGUUGGGAAAGGGGCAAAGGCUGUAUUCCGAGAUAAGGAAGGGAAACGGAUAAGUGAAGAAGAGAUGCGCAAGUCAAAGGAAUCUGAAAAGCCGAAGGAAAUACAUAUAGAAUGGGGUAAAGGAUUGGCGCAGAAGCGAGAAGCCGAGGCUAGAUUAAAAGAGCUUGAAGCUGAGAAGAGUAAACCAUUUGCUCGAACAAGGGAUGACCCUGAGCUUGACUCUAUGCUAAAAAACAGAAUCCGAUGGGGUGAUCCUAUGGCUCACCUUGUCAAGAGGAAAGAUCCAGAAUUUCUCCUUGAAGACUUUGGAGACGAUGAAAAGAUGAAAGAAUCUGGUUUCAUAGUUCCCCAAAAUAUACCUAGUUACAGUUGGCUGAAACGUGGAGUAGACCCCCCUCCAAAUCGUUAUGGCAUAAAGCCUGGGCGUCACUGGGAUGGCGUGGAUCGCAGUAAUGGAUUUGAGAAGGACAUGUUCAAGCUAAAGAACGAGAAGCAAGCAAUGGAGCAAGAGGCCUAUCUUUGGUCUGUGUCAGAUAUGUGAUCCCAGCUGCUGUUCCAAGACAUGAAUUCUGAAGGGACUAAUGUGGUCUGAAGGAAGAAACAAAGAGACUAUUCAAACGUUUUUCUUUAAACACACAAAAUGACCACGCUGGUGGGUGCUGUGUUUGCUGGAAAGCCCAAUGAAGCAUUGAUUUUGUUACAUGUAUUUGUUGAAACUUGUUACUACUCGUACUUCUUUUGUUAUCCUUGACAUUUUGUAAUAUAGGUAGACAUACAUGCUGCAAAGACGCAGUUUUUGGACUAGUACAGAAGAUGAGAUUUGGAGUGAAUAGUUUGUCACUUUCUGCUGCUUUCCAUGUGAAUAGUUUGUCUCCGUUUUGAAUCUA